AAUGUUUGUUGGGAAAGAUUCUUUGUUUUGGAAAAGCGAAGGGUGAAGGUCUUCAAGCAAGAUGUGCACAAACGUCUUGAGAAAAAUGUCAAAUUGUUAUUUUUGAUUAAAUAUUUGACCUCGGAAAAGUCUGACACUAGAAUUUUUGCUUUUGAUUUAUCAUUUUUUUGGUUAUUUUUAUAAAAAAUGAGUUUGACGAUUCACAAGAAAGACAAGUGACUCAAGAUAUGCACAAGAUGCGUGAUUUUAUCAAGUGAAAAUGAGGGUUAGAAGACUGCACACAUCUCCCUUUGUGCCCCUAUGGAGGUUCGACGCUUAAGAUUCAAGGUCAAGUAUAUGCAAUCUCACAAGGAUGGUUCCCUGAGCCUAAGGAUCAAUGGUCACUAGAGCUCUGGCCCCCUCCACAACAUCUCCACAACAGUCGAGUAAUCAACUAGGUGUGAAGACACAAGUAAAGAGGACAGACUCUAGCUGGAGUUCUCACGAUAGCCAGACAGGAAGUACAUCCCAGAGUGACACCGCUACACAACUCCUCCAAUUCUAAGUUACACUCAGACCCGGGUAUAGGGCCUCACUCAAAAGAUGCACAAAGCGUGUGUGUGAAGGGAGAAUGCAAUGCACCCAAACCCUCACCUGCAAAACAACCAGAAAAUUUUCCCAGGCAGAUAUAACAUGUUUUCUAGCCUAGGUAGGGUUCAAUAUACAAGC
This 708-nucleotide long non-coding RNA is filed under the name Vigna radiata. RNAcentral describes it as "long non-coding RNA (VRAD_LNC015971)". The record is from RNAcentral. Lineage: Eukaryota; Viridiplantae; Streptophyta; Magnoliopsida; Fabales; Fabaceae.